Molecule: ribosomal RNA, 860 nt
Filed under: Pseudonectria buxi
Lineage: Eukaryota; Fungi; Ascomycota; Sordariomycetes; Hypocreales; Nectriaceae
Description: LSU rRNA
Rfam family: Eukaryotic large subunit ribosomal RNA
Source: RNAcentral
UUGCCCAGUAACGGCGAGUGAAGCGGCAACAGCUCAAAUUUGAAAUCUGGCCUUCGGGUCCGAGUUGUAAUUUGUAGAGGAUGCUUUUUGGCGCGGUGCCUUCCGAGUUCCCUGGAACGGGACGCCAUAGAGGGUGAGAGCCCCGUCUGGUUGGACACCAAGCCUCUGUAAAGCUCCUUCGACGAGUCGAGUAGUUUGGGAAUGCUGCUCUAAAUGGGAGGUAUAUGUCUUCUAAAGCUAAAUAUUGGCCAGAGACCGAUAGCGCACAAGUAGAGUGAUCGAAAGAUGAAAAGCACUUUGAAAAGAGAGUUAAAUAGCACGUGAAAUUGUUGAAAGGGAAGCGAUUAUGACCAGACUUGGGCUUGGUUGAUCAUCCGGCGUUCUCGCCGGUGCACUCUUCCGGCCCAGGCCAGCAUCAGUUCGCUGCGGGGGAUAAAGGCGUCGGGAAUGUGGCUCCCUCGGGAGUGUUAUAGCCCUUCGUGCAAUGCCCUGCGGUGGACUGAGGACCGCGCUUUAUGCAAGGAUGCUGGCGUAAUGGUCAUCAUCGACCCGUCUUGAAACACGGACCAAGGAGUCGUCUUCGUAUGCGAGUGUUCGGGUGUCAAACCCCUACGCGUAAUGAAAGUGAACGCAGGUGAGAGCUUCGGCGCAUCACCGACCGAUCCUGAUGUUCUCGGAUGGAUUUGAGUAAGAGCAUACGGAGCCGGACCCGAAAGAAGGUGAACUAUGCCUGUAUAGGGUGAAGCCAGAGGAAACUCUGGUGGAGGCUCGCAGCGGUUCUGACGUGCAAAUCGAUCGUCAAAUAUGGGCAUGGGGGCGAAAGACUAAUCGAAACCUUUCUAGUAGCUGGUUCCGCGAAG